CCCCUAGAUGUUCUGGGCCGCACGCGCGCUACACUGAACAGUUCAACAAGUCUUAACCUUGGCCGAUAGGUCUGGGUAAUCUUUGAACGCUGUUCGUGAUUGGGAUAGACCUUUGCAAUUAUGGGUCUUCAACGAGGAAUUCCUAGUAAACGCAAGUCAUCAGCUUGCAUUGAUUACGUCCCUGCCCUUUGUACACACCGCCCGUCGCACCUACCGAUUGAGUGAUCCGGUGAAUAAUUCGGACUGCAGCUUUGAACAGUCCCUGUUCUCGGCUUGCGGAAAGUUUAGUGAACCUUAUCACUUAGAGGAAGGAGAAGUCGUAACA
Molecule: ribosomal RNA, 325 nt
Filed under: uncultured eukaryote
Lineage: Eukaryota
Description: partial 18S ribosomal RNA
Rfam family: Eukaryotic small subunit ribosomal RNA
Source: RNAcentral